UGAAGCCUGCCCAGUGACAAGUUUAACGGCCGCGGUACCCCGACCGUGCGAAGGUAGCAUAAUCACUUGUUCUUUAAAUAGGGACUUGUAUCAACGGCAUCACGAGGGCUGUACUGUCUCCUUUCCCUAAUCAGUGAAACUGAUCUCCCCGUGAAGAAGCGGGGAUUUAUCUAUAAGACGAGAAGACCCCAUGGAGCUUUAAGUCCAGUAUUUAACCCACGCCCAUAUACCCUAUUAGCUAUUAAGGCCCUAAAUACCUACUUUAGGUUGGGGGGACCGCGGAGUAUAAUCUAACCUCCACGACUAAUGGGCCUCGCCCUUAUCCACGAAUUACAACUCUAAGAAUCAAUAAACUGAUGUUUUAUGAUCCGAAAAUUCGAUCAACGAACCAAGUUACCCUGGGGAUAACAGCGCAAUCCACUUCAAGAGUCCUUAUCGACAAGUGGGUUUACGACCUCGAUGUUGGAUCAGGGUAUCCCAGUGGUGCAGCCGCUACUAAAGGUUCGUUUGUUCAACGAUUAAACCCUACGUGAUCUGAGUUCAGACCGGGA
This 551-nucleotide ribosomal RNA is filed under the name Pulchrana picturata. RNAcentral's name for it is "partial 16S ribosomal RNA". It matches the Rfam family "Bacterial large subunit ribosomal RNA", at positions 1853 to 2621 of the family's 2925-position model. The record is from RNAcentral. Lineage: Eukaryota; Metazoa; Chordata; Amphibia; Anura; Ranidae.